GACGAACGCUGGCGGCGUGCCUAAUACAUGCAAGUAGAACGCUGAAGAGAGGAGCUUGCUCUUCUUGGAUGAGUUGCGAACGGGUGAGUAACGCGUAGGUAACCUGCCUUGUAGCGGGGGAUAACUAUUGGAAACGAUAGCUAAUACCGCAUAACAAUGGAUGACACAUGUCAUUUAUUUGAAAGGGGCAAUUGUUCCACUACAAGAUGGACCUGCGUUGUAUUAGCUAGUAGGUGAGGUAAUGGCUCACCUAGGCGACGAUACAUAGCCGACCUGAGAGGGUGAUCGGCCACACUGGGACUGAGACACGGCCCCGACUCCUACGGGAGGCAGCAGUAGGGAAUCUUCGGCAAUGGGGGCAACCCUGACCGAGCAACGCCGCGUGAGUGAAGAAGGUUUUCGGAUCGUAAAGCUCUGUUGUAAGUCAAGAACGGGUGUGAGAGUGGAAAGUUCACACUGUGACGGUAGCUUACCAGAAAGGGACGGCUAACUACGUG
RNAcentral lists this ribosomal RNA (497 nucleotides) under uncultured bacterium. RNAcentral describes it as "partial 16S ribosomal RNA". It matches the Rfam family "Bacterial small subunit ribosomal RNA", at positions 28 to 507 of the family's 1533-position model. The record is from RNAcentral.